CGCGAGUACUGGUCCGGCCGGGUCUUUCCCUCUGUGGAACCCCAUGCCCUUCACUGGGUGUGGCGGGGAAACAGGACUUUUACUUUGAAAAAAUUAGAGUGCUCCAGGCAGGCCUAUGCUCGAAUAUAUUAGCAUGGAAUAAUAGAAUAGGACGUGUGGUUCUAUUUUGUUGGUUUCUAGGACCGCCGUAAUGAUUAAUAGGGACAGUCGGGGGCAUCAGUAUUCAAUUGUCAGAGGUGAAAUUCUUGGAUUUAUUGAAGACUAACUACUGCGAAAGCAUUUGCCAAGGAUGUUUUCAUUAAUCAGGAACGAAAGUUAGGGGAUCGAAAACGAUCAGAUACCGUUGUAGUCUUAACCAUAAACUAUGCCGACUCGGGAUCGGACGAUGUUAUUUUUUGACUCGUUCGGCACCGUACGAUAAAUCAAAGUGCUUGGGCUCCAGGGGGAGUAUGGUCGCAAGGCUGAAACUUAAAGAAAUUGACGGAAGGGCACCACCAGGGGUGGAGCCUGCGGCUUAAUUUGACUCAACACGGGGAAACUCACCAGGUCCAGACACAAUGAGGAUUGACAGAUUGAGAGCUCUUUCUUGAUUUUGUGGGUGGUGGUGCAUGGCCGUUCUUAGUUCGUGGGGUGACCUGUCUGCCUGAUCGCGAUAACGAACGAGACCUUAUCCUGCUAAAUAGCCCGUAUUGCUUUGGCAGUACGCUGGCUUCUUAGAGGGACUAUCGG
RNAcentral lists this ribosomal RNA (729 nucleotides) under uncultured eukaryote. Its description in RNAcentral is "SSU rRNA". It matches the Rfam family "Eukaryotic small subunit ribosomal RNA", at positions 670 to 1426 of the family's 1831-position model. The record is from RNAcentral.